Molecule: ribosomal RNA, 1343 nt
Filed under: uncultured bacterium
Lineage: Bacteria
Description: 16S ribosomal RNA
Rfam family: Bacterial small subunit ribosomal RNA
Source: RNAcentral
GACGAACGCUGGCGGCGUGCUUAACACAUGCAAGUCGAACGGAAAGGCCCUGCUUUUGUGGGGUGCUCGAGUGGCGAACGGGUGAGUAACACGUGAGUAACCUGCCCUUGACUUUGGGAUAACUUCAGGAAACUGGGGCUAAUACCGGAUAGGAGCUCCUGCUGCAUGGUGGGGGUUGGAAAGUUUCGGCGGUUGGGGAUGGACUCGCGGCUUAUCAGCUUGUUGGUGGGGUAGUGGCUUACCAAGGCUUUGACGGGUAGCCGGCCUGAGAGGGUGACCGGCCACAUUGGGACUGAGAUACGGCCCAGACUCCUACGGGAGGCAGCAGUGGGGAAUAUUGCACAAUGGGCGGAAGCCUGAUGCAGCAACGCCGCGUGCGGGAUGACGGCCUUCGGGUUGUAAACCGCUUUCGCCUGUGACGAAGCGUGAGUGACGGUAAUGGGUAAAGAAGCACCGGCUAACUACGUGCCAGCAGCCGCGGUGAUACGUAGGGUGCGAGCGUUGUCCGGAUUUAUUGGGCGUAAAGGGCUCGUAGGUGGUUGAUCGCGUCGGAAGUGUAAUCUUGGGGCUUAACCCUGAGCGUGCUUUCGAUACGGGUUGACUUGAGGAAGGUAGGGGAGAAUGGAAUUCCUGGUGGAGCGGUGGAAUGCGCAGAUAUCAGGAGGAACACCAGUGGCGAAGGCGGUUCUCUGGGCCUUUCCUGACGCCGAGGAGCGAAAGCGUGGGGAGCGAACAGGCUUAGAUACCCUGGUAGUCCACGCUGUAAACGGUGGGUACUAGGUGUGGGGUCCAUUCCACGGGUUCCGUGCCGUAGCUAACGCUUUAAGUACCCCGCCUGGGGAGUACGGCCGCAAGGCUAAAACUCAAAGGAGUUGACGGGGCCCCGCACAAGCGGCGGAGCAUGCGGAUUAAUUCGAUGCAACGCGUAGAACCUUACCUGGGUUUGACAUGGAUCGGGAGUGCUCAGAGAUGGGUGUGCCUCUUUUGGGGUCGGUUCACAGGUGGUGCAUGGCUGUCGUCAGCUCGUGUCGUGAGAUGUUGGGUUAAGUCCCGCAACGAGCGCAACCCUUGUUCACUGUUGCCAGCACGUUAUGGUGGGGACUCAGUGGAGACCGCCGGGGUCAACUCGGAGGAAGGUGGGGAUGACGUCAAGUCAUCAUGCCCCUUAUGUCCAGGGCUUCACGCAUGCUACAAUGGCUGGUACAGAGAGUGGCGAGCCUGCGAGGGUGAGCGAAUCUCGGAAAGCCGGUCUCAGUUCGGAUUGGGGUCUGCAACUCGACCUCAUGAAGUCGGAGUCGCUAGUAAUCGCAGAUCAGCAACGCUGCGGUGAAUACGUUCCCGGG